AGUGAACGCUGGCGGUAGGCCUAACACAUGCAAGUCGAACGGCAGCACAGUAAGAGCUUGCUCUUACGGGUGGCGAGUGGCGGACGGGUGAGGAAUACAUCGGAAUCUACUUUUUCGUGGGGGAUAACGUAGGGAAACUUACGCUAAUACCGCAUACGACCUACGGGUGAAAGCAGGGGAUCUUCGGACCUUGCGCGAUUGAAUGAGCCGAUGUCGGAUUAGCUAGUUGGCGGGGUAAAGGCCCACCAAGGCGACGAUCCGUAGCUGGUCUGAGAGGAUGGUCAGCCACACUGGAACUGAGACACGGUCCAGACUCCUACGGGAGGCAGCAGCGGGGAAUAUUGGACAAUGGGCGCAAGCCUGAUCCAGCCAUACCGCGUGGGUGAAGAAGGCCUCGGGUUGUAAAGCCCUUUUGUUGGGAAAGAAAAGCAGCAGGUUAAUACCCCGCUGUUCUGACGGUACCCAAAGAAUAAGCACCGGCUAACUUCGUG
RNAcentral lists this ribosomal RNA (491 nucleotides) under uncultured bacterium. Its description in RNAcentral is "partial 16S ribosomal RNA". It matches the Rfam family "Bacterial small subunit ribosomal RNA", at positions 29 to 507 of the family's 1533-position model. The record is from RNAcentral.